Molecule: ribosomal RNA, 506 nt
Filed under: uncultured bacterium
Lineage: Bacteria
Description: partial 16S ribosomal RNA
Rfam family: Bacterial small subunit ribosomal RNA
Source: RNAcentral
AUUGAACGCUGGCGGCAGGCUUAACACAUGCAAGUCGAGCGGUAACAGAGAGAAGCUUGCUUCUCUGCUGACGAGCGGCGGACGGGUGAGUAAUGCCUAGGAAUCUGCCUAGUAGUGGGGGAUAACUUGCCGAAAGGUAAGCUAAUACCGCAUACGUCCUACGGGAGAAAGGAGGGGACCUUCGGGCCUUUCGCUAUUAGAUGAGCCUAGGUCGGAUUAGUUCGUUGGUGAGGUAAUGGCUCACCAAGACCGCGAUCCGUGACUGGUCUGAGAAGAUGAGCGGUCACGAUGGAAUGAAGGAGAGGGCCAGACUCCUCCGGGAGGCAGCAGUGGGGAAUAUUGGAGAAUGGGGGGAACCCUUAUCCAGCCAGGCCGCGUGUGUGAAGAAGGUCUUAGGAUUGUAAAGCACUUUAAGUUGGGAGGAAGAGCAGUUAACUAAUAUUUGACUGUUUUGACGUUACCGACAGAAUAAGCACCGGCUAACUUCGUGCCAGCCGCCGCCGUAA